Molecule: long non-coding RNA, 535 nt
Filed under: Mus musculus (house mouse)
Lineage: Eukaryota; Metazoa; Chordata; Mammalia; Rodentia; Muridae
Description: long non-coding RNA chr2:31948546-31949081
Source: RNAcentral
GUGGGGCUGCACAUGACGGAGGGGAAUGCUAGCAGCAGCUGAACAUCUGUCUAACUCAGCAGCCAGCUGAGCAGUAGAACUUGGGAUGGCCCCUGUCCUAUCCCACUGAACAGCCAGGAACAGCUGUGGAGCAGUCUUCUCUGAGGAGAAAACAUUCCUUCCGGUAGGGGGGCUCCUCAGGCAGAGAGGUAAACAGCCCAAAACAAGAGCUUCAAGAGCUCCCUGAAACUGAGCGGAUUCCCCAGGCCCCUUCCUGCCGGCCUCAGCAGAACCCAGCUGCAAGAAGACUCUUAGACAAGUAGAGUUGCCUGCUGGUUAGACUAACUGAUGCCCCGGGAAAGGAGACUCUCCAUCCAACCUGUCACACUGUCUGUAGACCAUGCGGCGGGCUCCAGGUUCCCAGUUUUGUGAGCUGUCAUCCAUGCUAGGGGGUGGACUUUGGCAACACAGCUGUCUGUGAGUCAUUUCUGUUUCUGUAAGUUAACUCUUCACCCAUAUUCUUGUAAAUAACCCUAAUAAAGCUUACUGGGUCACC